GACGAACGCUGGCGGCGUGCUUAACACAUGCAAGUCGAACGGAAAGGCCCCUUUGGGGGUACUCGAGUGGCGAACGGGUGAGUAACACGUGAGUAAACUGCCCUUGACUUCGGGAUAACUUCAGGAAACUGGGGCUAAUACCGGAUAGGAAUCCUUGCUGCAUGGUGGGGGUUGGAAAGCUUCGGCGGUUUUGGAUGGACUCGCGGCUUAUCAGCUUGUUGGUGGGGUAGUGGCUUACCAAGGCUUUGACGGGUAGCCGGCCUGAGAGGGCGACCGGCCACAUUGGGACUGAGAUACGGCCCAGACUCCUACGGGAGGCAGCAGUGGGGAAUAUUGCACAAUGGGCGGAAGCCUGAUGCAGCAACGCCGCGUGCGGGAUGACGGCCUUCGGGUUGUAAACCGCUUUCAGCAGGGGCGAAGCUUGUGGUGACGGUACCUGCAGAAGAAGCACCGGCUAACUACGU
RNAcentral lists this ribosomal RNA (464 nucleotides) under uncultured bacterium. RNAcentral describes it as "partial 16S ribosomal RNA". It matches the Rfam family "Bacterial small subunit ribosomal RNA", at positions 28 to 506 of the family's 1533-position model. The record is from RNAcentral.